This 253-nucleotide ribosomal RNA is filed under the name uncultured prokaryote. RNAcentral's name for it is "partial 16S ribosomal RNA". It matches the Rfam family "Bacterial small subunit ribosomal RNA", at positions 525 to 777 of the family's 1533-position model. The record is from RNAcentral.
ACGUAGGGGGCAAGCGUUGUCCGGAAUCAUUGGGCGUAAAGCGAGCGUAGGCGGCCCGAUAAGUCUGCUGUAAAAGUCAACGGCUCAACCGUUGAAAGCCGGUGGAUACUGUCGGGCUAGAGUUCGGAAGAGGCAAGUGGAAUUCCUGGUGUAGCGGUGGAAUGCGCAGAUAUCAGGAGGAACACCUAUAGCGAAGGCAGCUUGCUGGGACGAUACUGACGCUAAGGCUCGAAAGCGUGGGGAGCGAACAGGA